AUUCGAUUAGAGUUUGAUCCUGGCUCAGAUUGAACGCUGGCGGCAUGCCUUACACAUGCAAGUCGAACGGCAGCACGGGAGCAAUCCUGGUGGCGAGUGGCGAACGGGUGAGUAAUAUAUCGGAACGUGCCCAGUCGUGGGGGAUAACGCAGCGAAAGCUGUGCUAAUACCGCAUACGAUCUCUGGAUGAAAGCGGGGGACUCGCAAGGGCCUCGCGCGAUUGGAGCGGCCGAUAUCAGAUUAGCUAGUUGGUGGGGUAAAAGCCCACCAAGGCGACGAUCUGUAGCUGGUCUGAGAGGACGACCAGCCACACUGGAACUGAGACACGGUCCAGACUCCUACGGGAGGCAGCAGUGGGGAAUUUUGGACAAUGGGCGAAAGCCUGAUCCAGCAAUGCCGCGUGCAGGAUGAAGGCCUUCGGGUUGUAAACUGCUUUUGUACGGAACGAAACGGUCGCCUCUAAUACGGGUGGCUAAUGACGGUACCGUAAGAAUAAGCACCGGCUAACUACGUGCCAGCAGCCGCGGUAAUACGUAGGGUGCGAGCGUUAAUCGGAAUUACUGGGCGUAAAGCGUGCGCAGGCGGUUAUAUAAGACAGAUGUGAAAUCCCCGGGCUCAACCUGGGACCUGCAUAUGUGACUGUAUAGCUAGAGUACGGUAGAGGGGGAUGGAAUUCCGCGUGUAGCAGUGAAAUGCGUAGAUAUGCGGAGGAACACCGAUGGCGAAGGCAAUCCCCUGGACCUGUACUGACGCUCAUGCACGAAAGCGUGGGGAGCAAACAGGAUUAGAUACCCUGGUAGAAUCACUAGUGAAUUC
RNAcentral lists this ribosomal RNA (816 nucleotides) under uncultured Rhodoferax sp. Its description in RNAcentral is "bacterial SSU rRNA". It matches the Rfam family "Bacterial small subunit ribosomal RNA", at positions 1 to 809 of the family's 1533-position model. The record is from RNAcentral. Lineage: Bacteria; Pseudomonadati; Pseudomonadota; Betaproteobacteria; Burkholderiales; Comamonadaceae.